This 253-nucleotide ribosomal RNA is filed under the name uncultured bacterium. Its description in RNAcentral is "partial 16S ribosomal RNA". It matches the Rfam family "Bacterial small subunit ribosomal RNA", at positions 524 to 776 of the family's 1533-position model. The record is from RNAcentral.
UACGUAGGUGGCAAGCGUUGUCCGGAUUUAUUGGGUUUAAAGGGUGCGUAGGCGGUUUUUUAAGUCAGUGGUGAAAUACAGCCGCUUAACGGUUGAGGUGCCAUUGAUACUGGGAAACUUGAGUACAGACGAGGUAGGCGGAAUUGACGGUGUAGCGGUGAAAUGCAUAGAUAUCGUCAAGAACACCGAUAGCGAAGGCAGCUUACUAGACUGUAACUGACGCUGAUGCACGAAAGUGUGGGGAUCAAACAGG